RNAcentral lists this ribosomal RNA (253 nucleotides) under uncultured bacterium. RNAcentral's name for it is "partial 16S ribosomal RNA". It matches the Rfam family "Bacterial small subunit ribosomal RNA", at positions 524 to 776 of the family's 1533-position model. The record is from RNAcentral.
UACGGGGGGGGCAAGCGUUGUUCGGAAUUACUGGGCGUAAAGGGCUCGUAGGCGGCCAACUAAGUCAGACGUGAAAUCCCUCGGCUUAACCGGGGAACUGCGUCUGAUACUGGAUGGCUUGAAUCCGGGAGAGGGAUGCGGAAUUCCAGGUGUAGCGGUGAAAUGCGUAGAUAUCUGGAGGAACACCGGUGGCGAAGGCGGCAUCCUGGACCGGCAUUGACGCUGAGGAGCGAAAGCCAGGGGAGCAAAAGGG